GACGAACGCUGGCGGCGUGCUUAACACAUGCCAGUCGAACGGAAAGGCCCUGCUUUUGUGGGGUGCUCGAGUGGCGAACGGGUGAGUAACACGUGAGUAACCUGCCCUUGACUUUGGGAUAACUUCAGGAAACUGGGGCUAAUACCGGAUAGGAGCUCCUGCUGCAUGGUGGGGGUUGGAAAGUUUCGGCGGUUGGGGAUGGACUCGCGGCUUAUCAGCUUGUUGGUGGGGUAGUGGCUUACCAAGGCUUUGACGGGUAGCCGGCCUGGGAGGGUGACCGGCCACAUUGGGACUGAGAUACGGCCCAGACUCCUACGGGAGGCAGCAGUGGGGAAUAUUGCACAAUGGGCGGAAGCCUGAUGCAGCAACGCCGCGUGCGUGAUGACGGCCUUCGGGUUGUAAACCGCUUUCGCCUGUGACGAAGCGUGAGUGACGGUAAUGGGUAAAGAAGCACCGGCUAACUACGUG
Molecule: ribosomal RNA, 468 nt
Filed under: uncultured bacterium
Lineage: Bacteria
Description: partial 16S ribosomal RNA
Rfam family: Bacterial small subunit ribosomal RNA
Source: RNAcentral